GAUGAAGAACGUAGCGAAAUGCGAUAAGUAGUGUGAAUUGCAGAAUUCAGUGAAUCAUCGAAUCUUUGAACGCACAUUGCGCCUCCUGGUAUUCCGGGAGGCAUGCCUGUUCGAGCGUCAUUAAAAUCACUCAAGCUUAGGUUUACCUAUUGCUUGGUCUUGGAGAUGGAAGCCAAUUUAUUGGAAUCCUCUUCGAAAUUCAAUGGCGAAGACCCUUGCUCUCCCAAGUGUAGUAAUAACUUAUGUUACUGAAGGAAGCGAGAAAUCUUCUGCCGUAACCCCCAUAUUUUCUAUGAUUGACCUCGGAUCAGGUAGGGAUACCCGCUGAACUUAAGCAUAUCAAUAAGCGGAGGA
RNAcentral lists this unclassified non-coding RNA (354 nucleotides) under soil metagenome. RNAcentral describes it as "partial contains 5.8S ribosomal RNA, internal transcribed spacer 2, and large subunit ribosomal RNA". The stretch from base 1 to 120 matches the Rfam family "5.8S ribosomal RNA", at positions 35 to 154 of the family's 154-position model. The record is from RNAcentral.